CGAUGUUGGGAGACCCCAAGGGUCGAAUCUCCCGAUGAAUCUAAGAGGGAGGCGGACGGUGUCCGCGGUCGCUUCUCCUUCCUCGUUCGCUCCAACUGGGAAGGAGAGAGACGUCGAGAUCGGUGGGUGUCACGCUGUGGCCGCCUCUCCCCUUCUCGAUGGGAAUGCUGAGACGGCUGCUCCUGAGGAGGAGAUGGAAGUGGACGCGGGCGUC
This 214-nucleotide long non-coding RNA is filed under the name Elaeis guineensis (African oil palm). Its description in RNAcentral is "long non-coding RNA (EGUI_LNC015585)". Lineage: Eukaryota; Viridiplantae; Streptophyta; Magnoliopsida; Arecales; Arecaceae. The record is from RNAcentral.